UCAGGCUGACCCAGCUGGAGGGAGAGCCUCAUUCUGACGACAUCAACGCCAACUUCAUCCCAGUUGUCCAGCAACAGCAGCGGAGGGUGGAGUAACUGCAAUUCACCACCUGACCCGACCACAGCAUCCUCAAGGCCCCCAGCUCCCUGCUUACCUUUAUGGAGCUGGUACAGGAACAGGCAAGGGCCACCCAGGGCAUGGGACCCAUCCUGGUGCCCUGCAGGAGGGCAGCUCCUCAGGGGCUGUCCCUGCAGUGUGGGCAUGGGCCAGACAGGCACCUUCGUGGCCCUGUUGAGGCUGCUGCAGCAGCUGGAGGAGGAGCAGAUGGUAGACGUGUUCCAUGCUGUGUAUGCAUUCUAGAUGCACGGGCCCCUCAUGAUCCAGACCCUGGCCCCCAUCGCUCCUCGCUGAGCAGCCUGAUGCCCUUCCCCCUGGCAGAGCCAGUACGUCUUCCUGCACAGCUGCCUACUGAACAAGAUUCUGGAAGGGCCCUUCAACAUCUCUGAGUCUUGGCCCAUCUCUGUGAUGAACUUCGCACAGGCGUGUGCCAAGAGGGCAGCCAAUGCCAACGCUGGCUUCUUGAAGGAGUACGAGCUCUUGCUGCAGGCCAUCAAGGACGAGACUGGCUCUUCCGCACCCCUGCCUGGCUAUGAGCAGGACAGCCCCUUCUCCUGGUGGGCCCUCUGGCUGUGAUCAUAUGGUGCUGACUGGCCUCGCACGGCCAGAGGAGCUCUGGGAGCUGGUGUGGCAGCACGGGGCUCAUGUGCUUGUCUCUCUGUGCCCACUCGAUGCCAUGGAGAAGGUCAGUUGCAGCAAGGGUGCGACCCAGCUGGGCACCUUCCUGGCCAUGGAGCAGCUGCUGCAGCAGGCAGGGUCUGAGUGCACCGUGGAAGUCUUUAACGUGGCCCUGCAGCAGUCUCAGGCCUGUGACCUUAUGACCCCAACGCUGAAGCAGUAUAUCUACCUCUACAAUUGUCUGAACAGCGCACUGGCAGACGGGCUGCCCCUGAGUCGGCACUGGUCACUGUGCAGGAGAGGUUUGUGCCCUGUAGGAUGGGGACAGCAUUCCUGACACAUCCGCGUGGGCCUGGGCUCCCCGGAAGGGCGGCCUCCACUGGGCCCUGUGCUGCGAAGGUAAAGGGUCUUGGAAUAAAGACCUGUGGCCAAG
This 1168-nucleotide small RNA is filed under the name Pan troglodytes (chimpanzee). Its description in RNAcentral is "processed transcript". Lineage: Eukaryota; Metazoa; Chordata; Mammalia; Primates; Hominidae. The record is from RNAcentral.